GUGCUUAUUAAAUAGGACUGUGAGACUUUCCUCAUGGGGGCCUCCUGUGCAACAGCUGCCGACAGUAGCCUCCUUGGUAGUGUAUGCAGCCUGUUGCUUGUAUGAGUUGCUCUAAGGGACCUUGGAGACAGUC
Molecule: small nucleolar RNA, 133 nt
Organism: Otolemur garnettii (small-eared galago)
Lineage: Eukaryota; Metazoa; Chordata; Mammalia; Primates; Galagidae
Gene: SNORA70
Rfam family: Small nucleolar RNA SNORA70
About the family: snoRNA U70 seems to be exclusive to mammals and is a member of the H/ACA class of snoRNA which contain H (ANANNA) and ACA box motifs. H/ACA box snoRNAs are involved in the conversion of uridines to pseudouridines (5-ribosyluracil) a constituent of structural RNAs (transfer, ribosomal, small nuclear, and small nucleolar).
Source: Ensembl